UGGGUGUGAAGAAACAAGUCUCAGAGAGGCC
RNAcentral lists this non-coding RNA (31 nucleotides) under Mus musculus (house mouse). The record is from RNAcentral. Lineage: Eukaryota; Metazoa; Chordata; Mammalia; Rodentia; Muridae.